This 591-nucleotide ribosomal RNA is filed under the name uncultured organism. Its description in RNAcentral is "bacterial SSU rRNA". It matches the Rfam family "Bacterial small subunit ribosomal RNA", at positions 85 to 675 of the family's 1533-position model. The record is from RNAcentral.
CUGCCGGCGAGUGGCGCACGGGUGAGUAACGCGUACGCAACCUACCUUCAAGAGAGGGAUAGCCCUGGGAAACCGGGAUUAAUACUUCAUAGCUUUCACUGAUCGCAUGAGAGGUGGAAUAAAGCUGAGGCGCUUGAAGAUGGGCGUGCGUGCUAUUAGCUAGUUGGUGAGGUAACGGCUCACCAAGGCGACGAUAGCUAGGGGGCGUGAGAGCGUGACCCCCCACACGGGUACUGAGACACGGACCCGACUCCUACGGGAGGCAGCAGUAAGGAAUAUUGGACAAUGGGCGCGAGCCUGAUCCAGCCAUCCCGCGUGCAGGAUGACUGCCCUAUGGGUUGUAAACUGCUUUUAUACGGGAAGAAACGACCUUCAUUGGAGGUUUUGACGGUACCGUACGAAUAAGCACCGGCUAACUCCGUGCCAGCAGCCGCGGUAAUACGGAGGGUGCAAGCGUUAUCCGGAAUCACUGGGUUUAAAGGGUGCGUAGGCGGCCUAUUAAGUCAGAGGUGAAAGGCUGCAGGUCAACUGUGGAAUUGCCUUUGAUACUGAUAGGCUUGAAUGGGGUCGAAGUCAGCGGAAUGUGGCAUG